This 274-nucleotide ribosomal RNA is filed under the name uncultured bacterium. RNAcentral describes it as "partial 16S ribosomal RNA". It matches the Rfam family "Bacterial small subunit ribosomal RNA", at positions 523 to 796 of the family's 1533-position model. The record is from RNAcentral.
AUACGAAGGGGGCUAGCGUUGUUCGGAAUUACUGGGCGUAAAGCGCACGUAGGCGGAUAUUUAAGUCAGGGGUGAAAUCCCAGAGCUCAACUCUGGAACUGCCUUUGAUACUGGGUAUCUUGAGUAUGGAAGAGGUAAGUGGAAUUCCGAGUGUAGAGGUGAAAUUCGUAGAUAUUCGGAGGAACACCAGUGGCGAAGGCAGCUUACUGGUCCAUUACUGACGCUGAGGUGCGAAAGCGUGGGGAGCAAACAGGAUUAGAUACCCCAGUAGUCC